AUAUAUAUACAUGGAUUGGUAAGCUUUAGAAAUGUUUGAUGACAACUGUGCGGAUAGUUUAUUUUUGUUCCUUAAUGAAACUUCUCUUCAUGCAGUAAUAUGAUGAGUGUUGCUGCAUCAUUCUAUAAGGCAAUUUUAGCAGUUACAACAGGGAUAUCUGUGCCCUUCAACAACUUGGCUAUUAUAUACAAGCAACAGCUUCAAGAUAUCAAACUCUACACCUUCUAUAUGGAGCUAGAUUUGCAAAAGUCAUAUCCAACUCGAGGAAGUGACUUAUUGACAUGGGAGAGAACUUAUUGGUAACCAAGGACUUUAUGAAGAUAGCAAAUUUUGGCCUUGCUCGUGAAGUUCAUUCGAAGCCACCAUUCACAGAAUAGGUUUCAACACGCUGUUUACAAAUCUCAAGUACUCCAGAGUUGAAAUUGAUGAAGUGCAGUUCGAGUCG
Long non-coding RNA from Zingiber officinale, 445 nucleotides. RefSeq lists it as uncharacterized. The transcript has 4 exons. NCBI's taxonomy places the organism in Eukaryota, Viridiplantae, Streptophyta, Magnoliopsida, Zingiberales, Zingiberaceae. The record is from RefSeq and is a predicted model, not a curated record.